CUGCUCACCAUGAUCGCUGGCGGGCGACCCUAAUACAUGCUUGUCGAGCGAAUGGAUUUAGAGCUUGCUCUUAUGAAGUUAGCGGCGGACGGGUGAGUUUCACGUGGGUAACCUGCCCAUAAGACUGGGAUAACUCCGGGAAACCCCCGCUAAUACCGGAUAACAUUUUGAACUGCAUGGUUCGAAAUUGAAAGGCGGCUUCGGCUGUCACUUAUGGAUGGACCCGCGUCGCAUUAGCUAGUUGGUGAGGUAACGGCUCACCAAGGCAACGAUGCCAAGCCGACCUGAGAGGGUGAUCGGCCACACUGGGACUGACUCACGGCCCAGACUCCUACGGGAAGCAGCAGUAGGGAAACUUGGGCAAUGGACGAAAGUCUGACGGAGCAACGCCGCGUGAGUGAUGUUCCCUUUCGGGUCGUAAAACUCUGUUGUUAGGGUUCAACAAGUGCUAGUUGAAUUUGCUGGCAGGAUGACGGUUGGUAACCAGAAAGCCACGGCUAACUACGUGCCAGCAGGGGCGGUUUUACGUAGGUGGCUUGCGAAAUCCGGAAUUAAAGGGCGUAAAGCGCGCGCAGGUGGUUUCUUAAGUCUGAUGUGAAAGCGGUCGGCUCAACCGUGGAGGGUCAAAGGAAACUGGGAGACUUGUCUGCAGAAGAGGUUAGUGGAAUUCCAAAAGUAGCGGUGAAAUGCGUAGAGAUAUGGAGGUACACCAGUGGCGUUGGCGACAAGCUGGUCUGUAACUGACACUGAGGCGCGAAAGCGUGGGGAGCAAACAGGAUUAGAUACCCUGGUAGUCCACGCCGUAAACGAUGAGUGCUAAGUGUUAGAGGGUUUCCGCCCUUUAGUGCUGAAGUUAACGCAUUAAGCACUCCGCCUGGGGAGUACGGCCGCAAGGCUGAAACUCAAAGGAAUUGACGGGGGCCCGCACAAGCGGUGGAGCAUGUGGUUUAAUUCGAAGCAACGCGAAGAAGGAAACCAGGUCAAGACAUCCUCUGUUUCCCUAGAGAUAGGGCAACUCCUUCGGGAGCAGAGUGACAGGUGGUGCAUGGUUGUCGUCAGCUCGUGUCGUGAGAUGUUGGGUUAAGUCCCGCAACGAGCGCAACCCUUGAUCUUAGUUGCCAUCAUUAAGUUGGGCACUCUAAGGUGACUGCCGGUGACAAACCGGAGGAAGGUGGGGAUGACGUCAAAUCAUCAUGCCCCUUAUGACCUGGGCUACACACGUGCUACAAUGGACGGUACAAAGAGCUGCAAGACCGCGAGGUGGAGCUAAUCUCAUAAAACCGUUCUCAGUUCGGAUUGUAGGCUGCAACUCGCCUACAUGAAGCUGGAAUCGCUAGUAAUCGCGGAUCAGCAUGCCGCGGUGAAUACGAAGGCGGGCCUUGUACACACCGCCCGUCACACCACGUCUGUUUGUAACACCCGAAGUCGGUGGGGUAACCGAAAGGAGCCAGCCGCCUAACCUGGGACAGAUGAUUGGGGUGAAGUCGUAACAGGUAUUCCGUAAUUGGCUUG
RNAcentral lists this ribosomal RNA (1512 nucleotides) under Bacillus cereus. Its description in RNAcentral is "bacterial SSU rRNA". It matches the Rfam family "Bacterial small subunit ribosomal RNA". Lineage: Bacteria; Bacillati; Bacillota; Bacilli; Caryophanales; Bacillaceae. The record is from RNAcentral.